This 64-nucleotide transfer RNA is filed under the name Cucujoidea sp. 10 KM-2017. Its description in RNAcentral is "tRNA-Asp". The record is from RNAcentral. Lineage: Eukaryota; Metazoa; Arthropoda; Insecta; Coleoptera.
AAAAGUUUAGUUAAUUUUAUAACAUUAGUUUGUCAAACUAAAGUAGUUUUUAAAACAACUUUUA